Molecule: ribosomal RNA, 395 nt
Filed under: uncultured bacterium
Lineage: Bacteria
Description: partial 16S ribosomal RNA
Rfam family: Bacterial small subunit ribosomal RNA
Source: RNAcentral
CUACGUAGGGUGCAAGCGUUAAUCGGAAUUACUGGGCGUAAAGCGUGCGCAGGCGGUUUUGUAAGACAGAGGUGAAAUCCCCGGGCUCAACCUGGGAACUGCCUUUGUGACUGCAAGGCUAGAGUACGGCAGAGGGGGAUGGAAUUCCGCGUGUAGCAGUGAAAUGCGUAGAUAUGCGGAGGAACACCGAUGGCGAAGGCAAUCCCCUGGGCCUGUACUGACGCGCAUGCACGAAAGCGUGGGGAGCAAACAGGAGUAUAUACCCUGGUAGUCCACGCCCUAAACGAUGUCAACUGGUUGUUGGGUCUUAACUGACUCAGUAACGAAGCUAACGCGUGAAGUUGACCGCCUGGGGAGUACGGCCGCAAGGUUGAAACUCAAAUGAAUUGGCGGGG